RNAcentral lists this transfer RNA (75 nucleotides) under Gammaproteobacteria bacterium. RNAcentral's name for it is "tRNA-Arg". The record is from RNAcentral. Lineage: Bacteria; Pseudomonadati; Pseudomonadota; Gammaproteobacteria.
ACCGCAUUGGCGAGGCAGAUCAGCGCGGCGCCGUUGCGGGCGGCGCUGGCGCUGUUCCAGCCGGCCACUCCGGUG